UGCAAGUCGAACGCGAAAGCGGGGCAACCCGCAAGUAGAGUGGCGAACGGGUGAGUAAUACAUCGGAACGUAUCCAGUAGCGGGGGAUAACCUGUCGAAAGAUAGGCUAAUACCGCAUACGAUCUACGGAUGAAAGCGGGGGACCGCAAGGCCUCGCACUAUUGGAGCGGCCGAUGUCGGAUUAGCUAGUUGGUGGGGUAAAAGCUUACCAAGGCGACGAUCCGUAGCUGGUCUGAGAGGACGAUCAGCCACACUGGAACUGAGACACGGUCCAGACUCCUACGGGAGGCAGCAGUGGGGAAUUUUGGACAAUGGGCGCAAGCCUGAUCCAGCCAUGCCGCGUGAGUGAAGAAGGCCUUCGGGUUGUAAAGCUCUUUCGGCGGGGACGAAACGGUUCGGGUUAACAACCCGGACUACUGACGGUACCCGCAUAAGAAGCACCGGCUAACUACGUGCCAGCAGCCGCGGUAAUACGUAGGGUGCAGGCGUUAAUCGGAAUUACUGGGCGUAAAGCGUGCGCAGGCGGUCUGUUAAGACAGGUGUGAAAUCCCCGGGCUUAACCUGGGAAUUGCGCUUGUAACUGGCAGGCUAGAGUGUGGCAGAGGGGGGUGGAAUUCCACGUGUGGCAGUGAAAUGCGUAGAUAUGUGGAGGAACACCGAUGGCGAAGGCAGCCCCCUGGGUCAACACUGACGCUCAUGCACGAAAGCGUGGGGAGCAAACAGGAUUAGAUACCCUGGUAGUCCACGCCCUAAACUAUGUCAACUAGUUGUCGGGGAAGAAAUUCCUUGGUAACGAAGCUAACGCGUGAAGUUGACCGCCUGGGGAGUACGGCCGCAAGGUUAAAACUCAAAGGAAUUGACGGGGACCCGCACAAGCGGUGGAUUAUGUGGAUUAAUUCGAUGCAACGCGAAAACCUUACCUACCCUUGA
This 930-nucleotide ribosomal RNA is filed under the name uncultured soil bacterium. RNAcentral's name for it is "bacterial SSU rRNA". It matches the Rfam family "Bacterial small subunit ribosomal RNA", at positions 56 to 984 of the family's 1533-position model. The record is from RNAcentral.